GCCUCGGUGGUUUCGUGGUAGAGCACGCGUCCCCGGAUAGGAUGAAACGCGGGUUCGAUUCCCGCCCGAGGCC
Molecule: non-coding RNA, 73 nt
Organism: Parelaphostrongylus tenuis
Lineage: Eukaryota; Metazoa; Nematoda; Chromadorea; Rhabditida; Metastrongylidae
Source: the annotation of a GenBank genome assembly